UGCCUUUCCUUAUAUCAAGUGUUGUUCCUCUCCUUCCCUAAAAUUGUAACCGGUUUUCUUCCUAUCUCACUCAAAAAACCCUAAGACAACUCCCUACCACCAUUUACCCUUGCUCUCUCUAGAAAACCUUGACUGAAAUUUCUCACCAUUAGCCCUUUCUUUGUCUGCGGAAAGGUCAUCGGCUAUUCUUGCUAGAGAAUAUUCAUUGAAGUGAUGAUGGCUCUCUUUCCUCACCGAAGACUUUCAAUCACCCCUUCUAGAUCUAAACGUAGUGUAUACCAGGUAGUACCUUUACAACUACCAACCCUCGACACCACCACCAUAACCACCAUUGAUUCUCCUUUCUCCGAUAUCUUUCUCUAUGUAUCUCAUUCUACAAAUCUUACUAAAAACCUCAAUCAUCUUCUUAAGCCAUCACCACUAACCCUAGGAUCGAUUAUCUAUCUUGUGUUAGUAUAAACUCAUGACGAAGAACAUGGCCCUCUCACAGCCAACCACUCUCCAUCACCAGUUUGAAGGUACGACAUCCUCCCAAGUACUUUCAUAUUUGUUAACCCCUUUCAUUCUCUUUGCUUCAUCUCUUUCGUUCACAAAACCUUGCAGCACCACUCACCCUUUCACUUUUUCUACACACUACCUAAAUGCCACCACCAUAAGCACCAUCGCUCACCCUCUUCCUCUCAGUCACUGUAAUACUAGACGUUGCCGCCCCUUCUCCCUCUCACAAUACAACCAUGCCACCACUGUUAUUCGUUUUUUAUACCACCACCAUCGCUCUCCCCAUUUGCGGCCAUGACCAUUGAAGACACCCACCAUCAAAACCUGCUUUUCCUUUAACCACCAUUCUUUUUCUCCCUGUUAAAUAACUAUAUUCACACUUCAUCAUGUUUCUGUAUCUCCCUACGUUUUCAGAGGAAGACGUAAUCGAGUCUAUUAGAUUAUCUUUCACAUAUUUUGGGCAAUCUUGAUUUGGAAUAAAUUUGAUUCUUGGUUUAUUUUGGGCAAUCCGUUGCUUACACAUCUGCAAAAAUUGAACUAAUUUUUUUUAUUAUGUUCACUAUGGCAAUCUGAUAAAAGGCCUAAGAAAAGUCAUGGUGAAGUACCUAUUGAGAGCCUUACGUAUAUAAUACUACAAUGUAGAUGAGGCCAAUAAAACAUGAUCCUACAUGUAUAGGCACCGAGUCUUAUACCAAUUUGGUGACCAAUAAGCAAAUCAUGCUUUAGAUAUGCUCAAGGUUUUGAAAGGGAAACGUAUCCCUAUUAAAAUUUUCAAAAUUCCAUCACACAGUGCUGGAAAGGAUAAAAUUGGUAUUGUAUAUGUUUCAAGUGAUGUAAGUUAGAAUCUCUAUCCAGGGAUGUGAGGACUUGCAAGUUGUAGAUGGAACCAUCUUUUGAUGUUGAGCUCAGGUAAUCCUCAUGUAGAUUUUCCAUUUUCUUACUGAUGUAUCCGAGAGUUCGAGGAGGUUGCUAUGUAUUGAUGAUACUUUCAAGAAAACGAAGAGAUUAAUCAAGAUUUGGGAAUAUGAAGAAAACCCAUCAAUCAAACUCACCAAUCUCGCCUAAAAUAUAUGUUAUUUUUUCCUCUUGGUUUCUAAAAUCUUUGUUUUAUGCAUUAUAGAAUUAAAUUGUGCACUCAACCUUCUGAUAUCGAGCUCUUCUUCCCAUUCUAUUUGAUGGCAAAUCCUUGGCUACCCAAGCAUAACCAGAUUAGUGCAAUUUCUCUAGUAUGAAAACUUUCUAGAAAGUAUGGGACGCUAAUAUCCUAACAUUGGUGACUUUCCAGGUAUUUGUAUGUUUGAAUCUUUAUUUUAGGGAGGUUUUUGCAUAGAAAACUAUAUAAAACAAUAACCUCAUAUUCUGAAUGUAUUUUUUGGUUGAAGGGUGUAUUUUAGGAGAAAACAUAUUGAUUGGCAAUAUUAUUGUUUUGAUUAGUCAGAUGUGGACGAAAAUUACUUCGAUUUAGUAUUAUUUCCACAAUCUUUCUAUCUAUAUUUUUUAUUAUAUUUGUAUUUUUUCUUAUUUUUGGAUCCAAAUGUAUGAGUGGUUAAUUUCAUUCAGUGUAGUUGUUCUGUUGGGUUUCAAUUUAAAGAUAGGGGUCCUCAUGCUGUGCACAUAUCAAUGAUCUUCUGUUGUUGACCAUGUAUGUCCCAUACCCUUAACUAGGUGCAGGUUAGUGUUGUGGUUUCUAUGGAACCUGUAAACGGAGAAGGAAGAGCACAAACACGAUAGGGAGACUUAUUCAAGUUGGAAGACCUUUUUGUUCCUCUUUUUCUCUUCACUUUCUCACAUCACCACCGCACCAACAAAAACUCUAUUAUGGAUCAAAGGUGUAUUUGACUGGUUAUUGGUCGACCCAUGUGACGGAAGCUAUGCACCUUCACAGAACAAAAUCAUCCCAAAAUAAUUUUACUGCAUUUAAGCAUAGAUAUCAAGUAUUUCCCUCAGUUCAUGGUGGCUCCUUUGCCCCUGUUCAUACUAGGUAUUUAUUCUUCUAGAGGUUCAUCAUUUGGGUCGACAAAUAGUAUUUGAGCAACUUUUUACAUUAUUCGGUGUAAUACAAAAAAUGAAACAUCUGAGUUCAAAUGGAUUGGACUAAAGUUAAAGAGGUUGCUCAAGUUUCAAAAAAUUUGGUUCUUAUUUGCUAACGUUUCAUCAACCUCUUAAAGUACAAUGCUACACAUGGUUUGCUGCUCUAAAGUAUAACACUAUUUCUGUCUAUAUGUUUUGGUCAUGUGGUUUUUUGUUUAUUUUUGUAGUGUUCCUUUGUAUCUUUAUGUAAGACUUUGGUUUCAUCAAACACUUUUUAUUUUUAUUUUUUUUAAAUUAUUGUUCCCAACUUAUGAUUGCAUGUUUUUAUCUACUUUUGGACAGUGAUGUUUGUUCUUAUGUAUAAAAAUAACAUUCAAACACAAAGCAAUUUAACUC
Long non-coding RNA from Lactuca sativa (garden lettuce), 2925 nucleotides. RefSeq lists it as uncharacterized. The record is from RefSeq and is a predicted model, not a curated record. Lineage: Eukaryota; Viridiplantae; Streptophyta; Magnoliopsida; Asterales; Asteraceae.